Molecule: ribosomal RNA, 475 nt
Filed under: uncultured Magnetococcus sp.
Lineage: Bacteria; Pseudomonadati; Pseudomonadota; Magnetococcia; Magnetococcales; Magnetococcaceae
Description: bacterial SSU rRNA
Rfam family: Bacterial small subunit ribosomal RNA
Source: RNAcentral
UUCGGGAUGCCGGCGAGUGGCGAACGGGUGCGUAACGCGUGGAUACCUGCCCUGAGGUGGGGGACAACAGCUGGAAACGGCUGCUAAUACCGCAUGCUCCCCAAGGGGGAAAGACUUCGGUCGCCUUGGGAGGGGUCCGUGUCAGAUUAGCUAGUUGGUGAGGUAAAGGCUCACCAAGGCGAUGAUCUGUAGCUGGUCUGAGAGGAUGAUCAGCCACACUGGGACUGAGACACGGCCCAGACUCCUACGGGAGGCAGCAGUGGGGAAUAUUGCGCAAUGGGGGCAACCCUGACGCAGCGAUACCGCGUGGGUGAAGAAGGUCUUCGGAUUGUAAAGCCCUUUCAGUAGGGAAGAUAGUGACGGUACCUACAGAAGAAGCUCCGGCUAACUCCGUGCCAGCAGCCGCGGUAAUACGGAGGGGGCGAGCGUUGUUCGGAAUUACUGGGCGUAAAGGGCGCGUAGGCGGCCUUGCAAG